This 283-nucleotide unclassified non-coding RNA is filed under the name Piscirickettsia salmonis. RNAcentral describes it as "partial 16S-23S ribosomal RNA intergenic spacer 1". Lineage: Bacteria; Pseudomonadati; Pseudomonadota; Gammaproteobacteria; Thiotrichales; Piscirickettsiaceae. The record is from RNAcentral.
UGAUUUUAUUGUUUAGUGAGAAUGAUAUUUGUUCUUUAACAAUGUGGUAAAAAGUAUAAGUAAAGAUUCCUUGAUUAAUUUAGGGUUAUUUUUAGUUUAGGUUGAGAUGUAUUUUUAUGUCUUGAUUGAUUAUUAGAAAUAAUUUUUAGUUUAUUUAAUUAACGAGUCUUGGUAAUUUUUGAAAACCGGUGUUGAGAUAUAGUUUUGAUUGGUAUUAGUUAAUAGAUUUUAGAUUUAUUGAUAUAAGACUUUUUGGGGUUAUAUGAUCAAGGAAUAAGUGCAU